CAUCAGUGUACUUGUACACUGAAAAGCGAGCGGCGGACGGGUGAGUAACACGUAGGUAACCUACCCAAAAGUUUGGGAUAACACGCGGAAACGUGUGCUAAUACCAAAUAGUCACUUAUCUCGCAUGAGAUAAGUGGGAAAGGCGGCGUAAGCUGUCGCUUCUGGAUGGACCUGCGGCGUAUUAGCUAGUUGGUGGGGUAAUGGCUCACCAAGGCAAUGAUACGUAGCCGACCUGAGAGGGUGAUCGGCCACAUUGGGACUGAGACACGGCCCAAACUCCUACGGGAGGCAGCAGUAGGGAAUCUUGCACAAUGGGGGAAACCCUGAUGCAGCAACGCCGCGUGAGUGAAGAAGGUUUUCGGAUUGUAAAGCUCUGUUAGCAGGGAAGAGGAAGGACGGUACCUGCAGAGGAAGCCACGGCUAACUACGUGCCAGCAGCCGCGGUAAUACGUAGGUGGCAAGCGUUGUUCGGAAUAACUGGGCGUAAAGGAUGCGUAGGCGGUUAAAUAAGUUAUAUGUUAAAUAUAUAGGCUUAACCUGUAGAAAGCAUAUAAAACUGUUUAACUAGAGUGCAGGAGAGGUAAGUGGAAUUCCUAGUGUAGCGGUGAAAUGCGUAGAGAUUAGGAAGAACACCAGUGGCGAAGGCGACUUACUGGACUGUAAC
This 664-nucleotide ribosomal RNA is filed under the name uncultured bacterium. RNAcentral describes it as "bacterial SSU rRNA". It matches the Rfam family "Bacterial small subunit ribosomal RNA", at positions 70 to 740 of the family's 1533-position model. The record is from RNAcentral.